Molecule: long non-coding RNA, 1602 nt
Filed under: Setaria viridis
Lineage: Eukaryota; Viridiplantae; Streptophyta; Magnoliopsida; Poales; Poaceae
Description: long non-coding RNA (SVIR_LNC005731)
Source: RNAcentral
CUCGCCUUUUAAAUUAACAGGCUUCCACUACUCUCACUGUCUGACAUACACACAGAGAACGCAAUGGGAAAGCUCCUCAAAGCGUCGUACCACCUCGUUAUGAGCAACUUCCUCGCCAUCGCCGCGGUGGCGUUUGCCACCGCCGUAGUCCAGAGAGGAUGGCCGUUCAGCAUCGACGGUCUCGCCGGCUGGCUACACGCCCAGCGGCCCGUCCACCUCAUCACGGCGGCGAUCCUGAUGGCUGCCGUGGCAAAGCUCCGGCGCGCCCGCCGGCAACGGGACGUGUACAUCGUGGAGUACGGCUGCUUCCGGCCGAGGCCGUGCUUCCGGGCGCCGUUCGCGACGUGCCUGGAGCACGCGCGCCUCCUGCCGUACCUUGUGGCCGACAAGGAGAGCCUGAACUUCGCGAUCCGGCUGCUCGAGCGCUCGGGGCUCGGCGAGGAGACGUGCGUGCCCUACUCGUACCACUACAUGCCCCCGGACCGCAGCCUCGACGCCGCCCGGGAGGAGACCGAGCUGGUCAUCUUCUCGGCCAUCGACGACGUGCUCGCCAAGACCGCCGUGAAGCCCGAGGAGAUCGACGUGCUCAUCGUCAACUGCAGCAUCUUCACGCCGACGCCGGUAUUCGCCGACAUGGUCGUCAACAGGUACAAGCUCCGCCCCGGCGUGCAGACCCUGAACCUGUCCGGGAUGGGCUGCGGCGCGGGGCUCAUCUCCGUCGGCCUCGCCAAGAACCUCCUGCAGGUGGCGGCGCCGGGCACGCACGUCCUGACCGUGUCCACGGAGAUCCUCUCGUCGCAGUACUACGUCGGCAGCGAACGCGCGAUGCUGCUGCCCAACUGCCUCUUCCGCAUGGGCGCCGCCGCCACGAUCCUGUCCAACUCCCCGGAGCGCGCGCGGUUCAAGCUCGGCCGCAUCGUCCGCACCAUGACCGCCGCGCGGGACGCCGACUACCGCUGCAUCUUCCAGGAGGAGGACGACAAAGGCAUGCGGGGCGUGCGCCUCUCCAAGGACCUCACCACCACCGCCGGCGGCGCGCUCAAGAGGAACAUCGUGGCGUUCGGGCCCCUCGUCCUGCCGAUCUCGGAGCAGCUCCUGGUGGCGCUGUCCCUCCUGAAGCGGAAGCUCCUGAGCCGGCUCGGCAGCAAGGUGAGGCUGUACCGCCCGGACUUCCGGACGGCGUUCGAGCACUUCUGCAUCCACGCCGGCGGUCGCGCGGUGAUCGACGAGGUGCAGCGCGGCCUCGGCCUGUCCGACGAGGACGUGGAGGCGUCGCGGAUGACGCUGCACCGGUUCGGGAACACGUCGAGCAGCCUGGUGAUGUACGAGCUGGCGUACACCGAGGCCAAGGGCCGGAUGAGGAAGGGCGACCGGGUGUGGAUGAUCUCCUUCGGCGCCGGCUUCGAGUGCAGCUGCGUGGCGUUGGAGUGCGUCAGGACGGCGGCGGCCGCCGACGGGCCGUGGGUGGACUGCAUCCACCGCUACCCGGUGCAGCUCCCCGACGUCGCCAAGGACAUCUGAUCAAACUACUGUGUGCAACGUGCACACGCUGCGCAGAAUUAUCUUCAACGAGAGAUUUCUGCGAAGGUUUCCGUGGACUUC